UAUGUGUGUGUGUGUCUGGGGAUCGAUCAAGGCAGGGAAGAAAAAGGGUUCAACCCUAGUUGCUAAUCCAGCCAAAUUAGAAGAAAAUUUCAAAGAUAAUUGAUUGCAUGAACUCAAGUUUCGAUCAUCUAAGCUCAUAUAGGGAAGUGGCGUAAAAAAAGAAAGCUCAAACGCUAGGAAAUCGGAAGGUUCGCAAGAUCGAGGUUUGUGUGUCGAAUAUGACCUAUUGUUCCAAUUUCAUCGCCUUCAGGUGUGUUUCUCCAGGUCUUUUGUCACUCUACGUGAAGUUUGUUUUUGUGUUAGUUAAGUUUAGUAAAAUUCGAGCAUCUCGAGUUAGGGUUUGUAGAAUGAGAUUUCAUUUGCGAUGGUUAAUCGUUGUGUUAUGUUAUGAGAUUUGAAUUUCUGUUACGAACUACUAUUUUGGAUUGAAUUUGUGCUCUGAGUUGACUUCGUUGGAUCCUACAUUUUGAUGAGCAAUUGGGAGUUAAUGAAGCAGGGUUAGAGAAUCCAUGAGCUCCUAUGUUAAGAAAUAUAGUUUCUGAGGUGAGAAUCUUUAACUUGUUGUGAGAGAGAUCCCACACCCUCCUAAACAGAGGGCCCUAACCCCACUUUGGCCAGACUAUGUUGUCUUAACUAUGUCCACGCUGGCGUCAGAGUUUGGCUAACGACGUUCCACGGGAAGCCAUACCACCACUGCAAGUAACAGGGGCUUGCACCGCCACAAGAAAGAUUCUCUCUGGCGUGACGCACGGUGGAUUAAAACCCGGGGUGGCUCGGACUCGAACUCUUGACCUAAGCACAUAUUGAACGGUGAUGAGAAGUGUCCCUUGUGCGAUGAGUUAGUGGAGACGGCUGAGCAUUGCUCGUGCUCAGUGGCCUCAAAUAUCUGGUAUCGUAUCAGCCGUUGGUGCAAGAUUAGCCCGAUCUAUGCCUUCUCUAUUAGAGAUUUGUUGUCUAUCCAUGAGUACUCGGGACUGGAAAAAACGCUAAAGAAGCCCUUCAAGGUAUUAUUAUAGUUGGUUGUUGGUGUUUAUGGAAAGCUAGAAACGAGAGGAGGUUCAAGAAUAAUAGGAAAGAGAUCUCGGUUACUUUUCAAGAUGUUAAAGUCUUAGGUUUCUUAUGGUACAGAAAUAAAUCUAGAAAUAGGAAGGUAUUUUAUGGAAUAGCUUGUGCUCUUUCAAUUUUUUAUAAUUGGUUGUUGUUUGUGUGGUUGCCCUUGUUUUGAGGGUUAGCUUGUGAAUAAAAAUUACUUUCAAAAAAAAAAAGCACAUGUAUUUAUUGAGUCUCAUAAAUAGUAGUUCUUUAUUAACUUUUUAGU
Molecule: long non-coding RNA, 1318 nt
Filed under: Helianthus annuus (common sunflower)
Lineage: Eukaryota; Viridiplantae; Streptophyta; Magnoliopsida; Asterales; Asteraceae
Description: hypothetical non coding rna
Source: RNAcentral